RNAcentral lists this long non-coding RNA (489 nucleotides) under Gossypium barbadense (sea-island cotton). RNAcentral describes it as "long non-coding RNA (GBAR_LNC001199)". Lineage: Eukaryota; Viridiplantae; Streptophyta; Magnoliopsida; Malvales; Malvaceae. The record is from RNAcentral.
CUAACAAGAGGAUCAUGAUGUCUAUGGUGAAGCAUGAUUUGAGAUUUGCACAGUACAUGUCGCAGGCUGUGGUUUUGGUGAAAGGGAAGAUCUUGUAAAGGUGGGAGUAAGAACCGGCGGCGUAACCCAACACGUUGCCGACCGCCAUGAAAAACGAGAACCACCCGUUCGCGGUUCUCAUCUUUUUGUGGUCAUUAGCCGAGAGGUCCGCGAGGAGAGCUCGACACGGACCUUGCAACAUGUUGUUAGCCACGUCGAGGAUCCAAAACCCGACGACAAAGAUGGCUACAGCUCUCGGUUUGGUCGUUUUCUUCAAGGAAUCUCCCGCAUGGUGGCCAAUGUCUUUGGCGAAACCGAUGAGGAAGACAGCUAUGGAGACAGAGAGAGCUCCAAUGACAAUAAAGGGUCGGCGUCGGCCGAACCGAGAGGUGCAACGGUCACUGUUGUAUCCCACGAUGGGUUGAACCAGAAGGCCAGAAAUGGGACCGC